Molecule: ribosomal RNA, 426 nt
Filed under: uncultured bacterium
Lineage: Bacteria
Description: bacterial SSU rRNA
Rfam family: Bacterial small subunit ribosomal RNA
Source: RNAcentral
GGGCCCGCACAAGCGGUGGAGUAUGUGGUUUAAUUCGAUGCAACGCGAAGAACCUUACCAGGGUUUGACAUCCUGCGAAUCUCUUGGAAACAGGAGAGUGCCUUCGGGAACGCAGUGACAGGUGGUGCAUGGCUGUCGUCAGCUCGCGUCGUGAGAUGUUGGGUUAAGUCCCGCAACGAGCGCAACCCACGUCUUUAGUUGCCAGCAUUUAGUUGGGCACUCUAGAGAGACUGCCGGUGAUAAACCGGAGGAAGGUGUGGAUGACGUCAAGUCCUCAUGGCCCUUACGGUCUGGGCUACACACGUGCUACAAUGGUGGUGACAGAGGGCAGCAAUAUCGCAAGAUAAAGCUAAUCCCUAAAAACCAUCUCAGUUCGGAUUGGACUCUGCAACUCGAGUCCAUGAAGUUGGAAUCGCUAGUAAUCGU